Molecule: transfer RNA, 74 nt
Filed under: Bacteroidetes bacterium ADurb.Bin028
Lineage: Bacteria; Pseudomonadati; Bacteroidota
Description: tRNA-Lys
Rfam family: tRNA
About the family: Transfer RNA (tRNA) molecules are approximately 80 nucleotides in length.
Source: RNAcentral
CGGUCCGUAGCUCAGUAGGUAGAGCACGUGACUCUUAAUCAUGGGGUCGGGAGUUCGAUCCUCCCCGGACCGAC